This 1204-nucleotide ribosomal RNA is filed under the name Yersinia enterocolitica. RNAcentral's name for it is "partial 23S ribosomal RNA". It matches the Rfam family "Bacterial large subunit ribosomal RNA", at positions 344 to 1554 of the family's 2925-position model. Lineage: Bacteria; Pseudomonadati; Pseudomonadota; Gammaproteobacteria; Enterobacterales; Yersiniaceae. The record is from RNAcentral.
GGAAAGUCGCACGGUACAGGGUGAUAGUCCCGUACACAAAAAUGCAUAUGUUGUGAGUUCGAUGAGUAGGGCGGGACACGUGACAUCCUGUCUGAAUAUGGGGGGACCAUCCUCCAAGGCUAAAUACUCCUGACUGACCGAUAGUGAACCAGUACCGUGAGGGAAAGGCGAAAAGAACCCCGGCGAGGGGAGUGAAAUAGAACCUGAAACCGUGUACGUACAAGCAGUGGGAGCACCUUCGUGGUGUGACUGCGUACCUUUUGUAUAAUGGGUCAGCGACUUAUAUUUUGUAGCAAGGUUAACCGAAUAGGGGAGCCGUAGGGAAACCGAGUCUUAACUGGGCGAAUAGUUGCAAGGUAUAGACCCGAAACCCGGUGAUCUAGCCAUGGGCAGGUUGAAGGUUGGGUAACACUAACUGGAGGACCGAACCGACUAAUGUUGAAAAAUUAGCGGAUGACUUGUGGCUGGGGGUGAAAGGCCAAUCAAACCGGGAGAUAGCUGGUUCUCCCCGAAAGCUAUUUAGGUAGCGCCUCGUGAACUCAUCUUCGGGGGUAGAGCACUGUUUCGGCUAGGGGGUCAUCCCGACUUACCAAACCGAUGCAAACUCCGAAUACCGAAGAAUGUUAUCACGGGAGACACACGGCGGGUGCUAACGUCCGUCGUGAAGAGGGAAACAACCCAGACCGCCAGCUAAGGUCCCAAAGUCAUGGUUAAGUGGGAAACGAUGUGGGAAGGCAUAGACAGCCAGGAUGUUGGCUUAGAAGCAGCCAUCAUUUAAAGAAAGCGUAAUAGCUCACUGGUCGAGUCGGCCUGCGCGGAAGAUGUAACGGGGCUAAACCAUGCACCGAAGCUGCGGCAGCGACACUUAGGUGUUGUUGGGUAGGGGAGCGUUCUGUAAGCCGUUGAAGGUGACCUGUGAGGGUUGCUGGAGGUAUCAGAAGUGCGAAUGCUGACAUAAGUAACGAUAAUGCGGGUGAAAAACCCGCACGCCGGAAGACCAAGGGUUCCUGUCCAACGUUAAUCGGGGCAGGGUGAGUCGACCCCUAAGGCGAGGCUGAAAAGCGUAGUCGAUGGGAAACAGGUUAAUAUUCCUGUACUUGGUGUUACUGCGAAGGGGGGACGGAGAAGGCUAGGCUAGCCGGGCGACGGUUGUCCCGGUUUAAGCAUGUAGGCGGAGUGACUUGGUAAAUCCGGUUGCUUAUCA